GUAGAGAAGUACGGUUGCCUGAAGAAAGUAACAUCACUCUGCAACCGCAAGUCUUUUUAUCCACAAAGGAACACAGGUUUAUGUGACAGUUGGCGAUUCUCAGACUGAUUUCAUCAUUAGAAGUUUUGCUUCUGCUUCCCUCUACAGAAGGUGUGGAAUUAAAACACCAGCCAGACCAAUGACGGUAUGCUGCAGCCUGACUGGAGGGACCGCAGGGACUUUCCAUGCAUUCUAUCCUUCAUUCCACCGGAGUCUGUGCCUUUAUCUAACCAGAUUUCAGUGAAGUGAAGAGUAAGAGGCAUGGAGCUUGAGCCUUGCAACUGAGUCCAUUUCCAGAUUGCAAGGAACACUUGGUGACACAUCCAAUCAUUUACACUAAACAAUAUCUAUAAAAUUGUCAUAUUUAUUGCUGAUAUGAUCCUACAGUAAAUGGCACUGCACGUAACCAUCACUAGUCCCGAUUCUUUCUUUUUUUUGGAAACGCGGUACUGAUUCUUGCCUUUGUCUUCUUGAUUCUUUUUCUUCAUAACAUCCAUUGUAAAAAUUUUGUAUAUGUUGAAUUAUUUUAUUAAACUGUGUAUCCCAUCUCUGUGUUUGUUUGCAAUUAUACACCAAUUAAACUGUAUGUUGAAAGACCCAA
Molecule: long non-coding RNA, 640 nt
Organism: Esox lucius (northern pike)
Lineage: Eukaryota; Metazoa; Chordata; Actinopteri; Esociformes; Esocidae
Exons: 2
Source: RefSeq, a predicted model, not a curated record